CCUACGGUGCGCUGCAGUCGAGAAUCAUUCACAAUGGGGGAAACCCUGAUGGUGCGACGCCGCGUGGGGGAAUGAAGGUCUUCGGAUUGUAAACCCCUGUCAUGUGGGAGCAAAUUAAAAAGAUAGUACCACAAGAGGAAGAGACGGCUAACUCUGUGCCAGCCGCCGCGGUAAUACAGAGGUCUCAAGCGUUGUUCGGAAUCACGGGGCGUAAAGCGUGCGUAGGCUGUUUCGUAAGUCGUGUGUGAAAGGCGCGGGCUCAACCCGCGGACGGCACAUGAUACUGCGAGACUAGAGUAAUGGAGGGGGACGCGGAAUUCUCGGUGUAGCAGUGAAAUGCGUAGAUAUCGAGAGGAACACUCGUGGCGAAGGCGGGUUCCUGGACAUUCACUGACGCUGAGGCACGAAGGCCAGGGGAGCGAAAGGGAUUAGAUACCCUAGUAGUC
Molecule: ribosomal RNA, 446 nt
Filed under: uncultured bacterium
Lineage: Bacteria
Description: partial 16S ribosomal RNA
Rfam family: Bacterial small subunit ribosomal RNA
Source: RNAcentral